UUAGUGCUGUAAUUUAGAAUUUAAGUUGAUUUUAUUUACAAUAGAGUUGGAAAUUACGGAUUUAAAAAAAAAUUGGAAUCAAAUAUCUAUAAAUGUGGGGGGCUAAAAUUUAAUUUUUUAAAGAAUUAGCUAAAUUUCAUUUAUUGUUCCUGAUCUUUCCAAGAAUUGUUUUUUUCUAUCAUAGUACGUUAAUUUUCUUAAAACAGCCCCCGGUAUUUAAAAAAAUAAGUAAGGAUAUAAAAUGGUUUUUCGUUGACUUAUCACUCAAGCAGUAUUUGGUUGGACUCUGUGGUCACUGAUGAGACAAUUCACAGGAAAAGUAAAAAAAACAAAAAAAGUCCAAGACUGAUGGUUGAUAAUGAUCAUCAUCAUGUGGUAGUAUGAAAACGAAGUUUUGGUGGGUGUGGAGGAGCAUUACUGCUUUAAUAAUUUGUUCAAUUUUUCAAAGGAAGAUAUAUUCAACAAGACAUUACUCAUUACUACAGCUGCUACAAGAUAAAAAAAAGAAGCAUUUUGGUAAUCAAAUUGAAAGGGAAUUCACAUUUUGGUAAUCAAAUAAAAAUAUACAAUAUUUUUAUUUUUUCUAAAUUAGUAUUUAAAAGACAUAUUUGGUGCACAAUAUUAAAUUUUAUUUCAUAAUUAUUAUUUUUUCCUAUAACAAUUGUACCUUUAAGUUACAGUACCUCAAUACUAAACAAUAUCUUACGUGCUUUACAAGUCAUAUUAUUAGCAUUCUACUCGUAUCAAUUAGAGACGAUGACAAUACAAAACUUUGAUGAUGUUUUGAGAUAUAUUCCUAUCCCAUUCCCGUCCAUUAAUAACGGACAAGCGAAAGCAAUUUUUCUUAGGUACUGAAACUAAGCAAUAACAAGUUGCUGGUUGCUUCAUUUUUUUUUAUUUUUUUUAAUUACUGUCAAUAAAAAUCAGCCUUUCCUUAGUACGUUACAAUACACAAUUGCACACUAUUACUGGCUUUUAGCGGGUAUUUGGAGGUGCCGCGGUGAAAUAGAUUAAACACAAAAUUAACCGGAUGCUCCCUUAAGCCAACCUUGGAUAAGGGCGGUAAUAGUUGAUGGCUUUAGUUUUCGUUUUUGUAUUGCUUUUUAUAUAUACCGUCGCGUUGGCAAAAUGGCCAGAGCUGGUUCAAGCCCGCGACGACCUGGCCUAGGCCGCAGGAUAAAAUUAUGAAUAAAGGCUUGGAAAAUAUAAGGGCCGCACAUAUUGGACUUGGAUAAGGGCCCUUUAAAAAAGAGCUCGGGCUUU
Molecule: long non-coding RNA, 1263 nt
Filed under: Citrus x clementina
Lineage: Eukaryota; Viridiplantae; Streptophyta; Magnoliopsida; Sapindales; Rutaceae
Description: Citrus clementina (C. clementina) long non-coding RNA (CCLE_LNC004211)
Source: RNAcentral